GAUCAUGGCUCAGGAUGAACGCUAGCGACAGGCUUAACACAUGCAAGUCGAGGGGCAGCACGGUGUAGCAAUACACUGGUGGCGACCGGCGCACGGGUGAGUAACACGUGUGCAACCAACCCCGUACCGGGAGAUAACCCGCGGAAACGUGGACUAACAUCCCAUGAUACUCGAGAGCCGCAUGGCUCUCGAUUUAAAAUUCCGGUGGUACGGGACGGGCACGCGCGACAUUAGGUAGUUGGCGGGGUAACCGG
This 254-nucleotide ribosomal RNA is filed under the name uncultured bacterium. Its description in RNAcentral is "partial 16S ribosomal RNA". It matches the Rfam family "Bacterial small subunit ribosomal RNA", at positions 15 to 263 of the family's 1533-position model. The record is from RNAcentral.